This 465-nucleotide ribosomal RNA is filed under the name uncultured bacterium. RNAcentral's name for it is "bacterial SSU rRNA". It matches the Rfam family "Bacterial small subunit ribosomal RNA", at positions 338 to 795 of the family's 1533-position model. The record is from RNAcentral.
CCUACGGGCGGCUGCAGUGGGGAAUUUUGGACAAUGGGCGCAAGCCUGAUCCAGCCAUUCCGCGUGAGUGAAGAAGGCCUUCGGGUUGUAAAGCUCUUUCGCAAGGGAAGAAAACUUACCUUUUAAUAGAGGGUGAGGUUGACGGUACCUUGAUAAGAAGCACCGGCUAACUACGUGCCAGCAGCCGCGGUAAUACGUAGGGUGCGAGCGUUAAUCGGAAUUACUGGGCGUAAAGCGUGCGCAGGCGGUUUUGUAAGUCAGAUGUGAAAGCCCCGGGCUCAACCUGGGAACUGCGUUUGAAACUACAAGGCUAGAGUAUGGGAGAGGGGGGUAGAAUUCCACGUGUAGCAGUGAAAUGCGUAGAGAUGUGGAGGAAUACCAAUGGCGAAGGCAGCCCCCUGGCCUAAUACUGACGCUCAGGUGCGAAAGCGUGGGGAGCAAACAGGAUUAGAUACCCUGGUAGUC